Molecule: long non-coding RNA, 1091 nt
Filed under: Daphnia pulicaria
Lineage: Eukaryota; Metazoa; Arthropoda; Branchiopoda; Diplostraca; Daphniidae
Description: uncharacterized LOC124340581, transcript variant X2
Source: RNAcentral
GAAUUGAGACAUUGAGUUUUCCAGAAAUCAUCGUUCGGCUUUAUUUAACGCGAAGCUAUUAAAGAAAACUCCAGACGAUACAGAGUUCAAUCAAAAGUCAAAACUACGUAAGGAGGAAGGAGAGAAAAGAAAACUUAAGUGUGGCAAGAUGGAAAACGAAACAAUGUUGGGAGGGUCGAGAAUCUGGAGAAACUUCUGAACUUAACACUGAACAGGCUGAAAUUCUCUAAAUUUAUCGCUCAUUGGCCUACAAGCAACAAGGCAACAUCUGACGAUUCUGAUCUUGCAUGAAUGGAAGAGAACAUUUGGCACUCAUAAUUUGGUUAACUUUUGAAGAGAAAGUGAGGAGAAAAUACUCCAAGGAUCUCAUUCCUCCAACAACUAUGGCAGAUUUGUUCACGGUUUACCCUCGCCGCUGUUCGAUAGACUUUAUCAAUUGGUGGAAGAUGACAAGUGGUCGGCCGCGCUGAAAUUCAAGAUCGAUAAAUUAUAUAGAUGUUUAGAAAUUACAAGUGCAUAUCUGGACUCCCUUCUCAGUGGCCCCGUUUCCCUAAUUAACCACUAACCAGUCGCUGCGACAACCAGGAGGAAGGGAGUGGACUGGUCGAACAGGGACUUGCAAGGCGCAUGAUUCGAUGAAAUUUGUUGGAGGGUCAUGAAUCUAAGCCGGAAGCCUACUAAGAUUAAUCGCUCUCGUAAUAACUGUUCCUCGGCUCUCUUCGCUCUUUUUCCGGUUUCUUUGAACCAUGGCCGGGUAACCUCCCUUGUCGAGUCAGUGCGGGCAGUGUCUUCCCUUGCUUGACUGGCUGCAGUUUGAACCGGACGGUCUGUUAAAAUAAGAAUUUAAAUCUAGAACAACGCCUCCUUUGAGCGGCCCGGACAAUCCUGAAUCCUUUAGGGUUGCCAUUCCAUCGAGGCUUAAACGAGGAUGACGCGGAGGGGUUGCCCAUUGAGGGGUUUUGGUGACAAGGAGUCACUGAACGAAACGCUAAACCAAAUGAAAAAAUAAGAAAGCCAACGAUCCUUUAUAUAUCCGAGCCGAGUCCUUUCCGUCUACAUUCGGUAUGAAGAGUAAAACCUAAAUUUCAACA